UUCAUUGGUAGAAAUAGCUGGCGCGUAGUAUCAACGUGAGGAUCACGCUUCUUGGUAUCGAAGAGGCAUCUCGAUUGAUAGUAGUGUUUAUUUACUCUGAAUUAGUAAAAAAUGGUGAUACUGACAAGCUUCCCACCUCCUACAGAAGGAAUUCGGCAUAAACAAGAGAAUACAGUAGCGAAUAUCGAUGGCAGCACUUUAGGAAAUGGAACCCUCUAUGUUGCAGAAAGCCGGUUGUCAUGGAUGGGUGAAAAUGGACGAGGUUUCUCACUGGAAUACCCGGCAAUAAGUUUGCAUGCAGUCUCGCGAGACACAUCCAGUUUCCCUCAAGAAUGUCUGUAUUUGAUGGUGGAGGGCAAAUUAUCAGGCGAGGCACAGGACGGGUCAUCUGAAGGGGAGGAGGAAGACGACCAACCAAUCGGAGAAGUUCGCUUUGUACCAAGCGACAGAGGAACAUUGGACGCCAUGUUUCUUGCCAUGAAUGACUGCCAAGCCCUACAUCCGGACCCACAAGACUCCGACUCAGAAGCUGACGGAGAUGAAGACUUCUUCACAGGAGAAGAAGGUGAAGGUCAGUUGACAGAGCAAGGGGAAGCAACUCUACAGCAUCUAGACAAUCUGUUACAGGUGGGGCAAGGCGAUGGAGCUGAGGGGCAGCAGAACGGCCACCACAGGGGUGGUGGUGGAGGAGUUGGGGAGGAGAACAUGGAGUUGGGUCAGUUUGAGGACGCCGACAUGGAGCAGUGAGCGCGACAGGGGGGGCCUGACUCGCUGUCAGUCGGGGAGAUGCUACAGUGAUAGUGCCACCAUCUGUUCAGACAUCAGUCUGGAUGAGCUCUGGCAGCGAUUACUCUGAAGCCUUGUGUGAAAGCUGUGUAUGUGUGAUGUACGCCUGAAGAUAGUGUAUGUUCCAUAGAUGAAGAGAAUAAAGGACAGCAGCCUGUGUUACCGAGGUGGCUAGUCUGAAGACCUCGAGAGGUGUUCCUGAGACUGUCAGCCUGUUGUUGUCAGGACAACGGCUGCAUGUGUUCCCGAGGUGGCUAGUCUGAAGACCUCAGACGAACAGCUGCAGGUGUUUCUGAGAGUCUGGGCCUGUGUUCCUGAGAUGGUCAUUCUGAUGUUGUCAAGACAACGGCUGCAUGUCUUACCGAGGUGGCUAGUCUGAAGACCUCAGACGAACAGCUGCAGGUGUUCCUGAGACUGUGUUCCAGAGAUGGUCAUUCUGAUGUUGUCAGGACAACGGCUGCAUGUCUUACCGAGGUGGCUAGUCUGAAGACCUCAAGAGAGGUGUUCCUGAGACUGUGUUCCUGAGAUGGUCAUUCUGAUGUUGUCAGGACAACGGCUGCAUGUGUUACCGAGGUGGCUAGUCUGAAGACCUCAGACGAACAGCUGCAGGUGUUUCUGAGAUGGUCGGGGCGGUCGGGUAGCCUAGUGGUUAAAGCGUUCGCUUGUCACCCCGAAGACCCUGGUUCGAUUCCCGACAUGGGUACAAUGUGUGAAGCCCAUUUCUGGUGUCCCCCGCCGUGAUAUUGCUGGAAUAUUGCUAAAAGCGGUGUAAAACCAAACUCACUCACUCACUCACUCUGAGAUGGUCAUUGUGAUGUUGUCAAGACAACGGCUGCAUGUGUUACCGAGGUGGCUAGUCUGUGGACAUCAUGAACUCCUGUUUUAGAUACCCUUUAUAUCAGCAAUACAUUUUAUGCAGUAAUGUAAAAUUAAGCGUUUUAGGCUCUUCUUCUAUAGUGGUCCUGUAACCAGUAUAAAUACAAGUCACCUGUGUACACCCGGAUUAGAAUAGAUCUUCAACAACCCAUGCUUGCUGUGAAAGGCGACUAUGCUUGUAUUAAGAGGCAACUAAUGGGAUCAGGUGGUCAGGCUAGCUGACACUGUUGAUGCAUUUCAUCUUAUCCCAAUGGCAUAGAUCAAUGCUUCUGGUAUCAAUCACUGGAUUGUCUGCUCCAGACUCAAUUGUUUUCAGACUACCACCAUAAAGCUGGAAUAUUGCUGAGUGCACCAUUAAAAACAAUAAACAAACAAAUACGAGUCACCUAGACCAAGCCAUUAUAUUAUGUGACUAUAUAGAUAUGAAUUGGGAAAUUGUUCAUUCACAUUUGAGAUUUAUAUUCUGUCUUUUGGUACAGACUUUGAGAUGAAUAUUGGCCUUGUAGCUGGUCUAGAUUUAAGACUGAUCGUGAUGUAUUUGAAACAAACUACUUCACAAUCCACUUUGUAUCAAAGACUACCGUAGUCGACGUAAUGAGCACCCCAUUCUAAGCGCCCACGGCGAUAUUUGCUAAUAUAUUGGCUAGUGAACAAUCCCAAUUAGCACACCUUCCGAUUGAUCAAUGUACACAAGACAGUUAUUUGCGAAUAAUACAGGCUAUCAUUUCAGGCUGUCAGCAUUAACCACGAAAUCUUUCAACACUGUUGGGUUUUUUUCACCGAAAGUGUUUUCUAAUAAGAGGUCCCUAUUUCUAAUUUUGAGAGUGCCCUGGGCGCUUAUUAUGUGGAAUACGGUAUUUGUAUUUGGAAUGGUUUGUUUAUUCCUUAAGACCACUGGGUAAAUUUUGUCUUGCUCAUGGCCACAGGGGCGGUUGGGUAGCCUACAGGUUAAAGCGUUAGCUCGUCACACUGCUGAAAACCUGGGUUCGAUUCCCUAAUCAAUCAAGGGACAAUGUGUGAAGCCCAUUUGUGGUUUCCCCAACUGUGAAAUUGCUGGAAUAUUGCUAAAACCAUACUCACUCACUCGUGGCCACAGAAUGCACACCCCUAGGGCAUGGCCAAGACAUGGUGGCGUUGUCUGUUGUGCACCCCACUGGGGUAUAGCCAGAAUGUCUGGGACAAAAACAUUUACUGACAGCAGCAUUGAACAAUGAAAUUUCAUCAGUUGAUGUCUCAGAUUAAUAUUAUCUUAACAUUCAGCAUGGUUUGUAAGGGAUGUGUUGCCUGAAUGUGAUUGUAACAAAUACAAUGUUAAUGCGCGACUUCUUGAGCUGUUAAGCAGUUUUGAAACUUGAAAAUACUUCAAAGUAGAAAUGUUUUGAUUUCUCAAUGUUAGCUCACUAAUAACUCCAUUGAGUCAAAUAAGAUGUGUUUAAUUAGCUAGCGGCUUGACAAGUGUACGUGUAAAGUUUAUGUACACACACUUAAUAUUUUUUUUGUUUUUUACAAGCAUUAUUUGUGCAACUGAACUCUGAUCUUCGAGUGAAUCUUUAAAAUAUGUUGCGUUUUGUUGGAUUUGUAGUAUGUUGUGACACUGCUGUUAUGAAUUAUGAUUUUAUUUCAAACUUGUGCACUCAGCUGGUCAGACUAGGAAGAGGGGCGGUUGAAUGUGAUUUUAUGUAUGCUUCAGUAACUUGUUAGAGAUGUUUGUUUUCAAGGAUUUGUGAAACACAAUGAGAAUCUGAUGAGAGACUGACUACACUAGGAGCUAUAGUGCUGUGUAAAUAUUUGUCAUGUGUAUCAUUCAUUUCCAGGCAUUGAGUGUAAAUAAAGUCAUAUUUUCGUU
This 3508-nucleotide unclassified non-coding RNA is filed under the name Haliotis rufescens (red abalone). Its description in RNAcentral is "methylosome subunit pICln-like, transcript variant X1". Lineage: Eukaryota; Metazoa; Mollusca; Gastropoda; Lepetellida; Haliotidae. The record is from RNAcentral.